Monodelphis domestica (gray short-tailed opossum) is the source of this 1572-nucleotide long non-coding RNA. The record is from Ensembl. NCBI's taxonomy places the organism in Eukaryota, Metazoa, Chordata, Mammalia, Didelphimorphia, Didelphidae.
CCAUCCUCACUGCUGCCAAAGCAAUCUCCUGAAUGUCCAUUUCUCUUUCUAGGAUUCCCUUCUCAGAAAUGUUCUGGUGAGUGUCUUUAGCCUAUUUGGGGUUCGGAUCCCUAUGGCCAUCUGGUAAGGCCACGAACUGCCUCUCAGAAUAAUGCUAAAAGCAGAAAAUAAAAUCCAGAGGUUUACAGAAGAAACCAAAGGCUGGCAAAAAUAAAGCUAUAUCUGUAGGACAUCUAGUUUGAGAUGUCCAAUAGGCAAUUGAAGAUGCAAGACCAAAGAUCAAAAGAGAAGUCUGGCCUGGAUAAAUGGAUGUAAGAAUCAUCCGCAUUGGAAUGAUAUUCGAAUCCCUGGAAACUGAUGAAGUCAUUAAAGGAGACAAGCAGAGGACCAAGGACAGAGGCUUCGAUAAAGAAACAGAGACUCAUAGAGGGAGAAGGUUUAAAGAAAGUCAAGCAGUAAGAAACGUAUCCAGAAUUUCGACCAGAGCCUCUUCCUCCAAAUACAAUUCUCUCCCAUGGCACUUUGCAUUUGAAUUUCUUCAAAUUAAGAGUAGUGGUGGGAAAGGGAAAUAAUGUUGGUUGUAGGUAUGUUGGGUAAAGGUCAGCAGUUAUAUCUCAAUUCUCUUGUGGUCUUAAGCAAAGCUCCAUGGUAAUUGGCAUGGGCUUAUGCUAGUGACCAAGUAUGAAAGGAAUUUAUUAACUCCAAUCCAAAUAUUAAAUAAGGCUGGGGAAGUUCCUGUUGAGAGGGAUUAGUCAAAAAGAUUUGUUCUAAGAGAGUCUUUGUCAUAUAAGUUGAGUGCAUUUAUGUGCCUGAGUCACAAAAGAGCUAAGUUAGUCCUUGGACUGCCUUAUAAAGAGCUGUAGAUACUUCUUGUGGGUUAGAAACAACCUAAGUGCCUAGAAUUAGCAAAUCAUACAAGCCAGUGAGUGAAGAAGUCAAUUUAGUGGAAAAGCAGCAGAUGGCAGGUCAGUAGAAGAAAGAGACCCAGCAGCUGACAUCAGUAGCUCACAGCUCAGUCAAGAAAGCAGCAGUCUUUAUAUGAAAGUAGUAAUCAACAUUAGAGGCAGACAGAUGUUUCUUCUAAAAAUGUAAUCCUAUAAGUGUGGAGUGGUCUGAGCUACAAGCAUUCCCUCCUCAUCCUGUGAUAUGUGAAUGUCAGAGAAUGUGAUUCUGUAUAGAUGGGUUGUGAUUCUCCCUUAUUAUCUAACUUGUUAUUCUGUUUUAUUAAAUGCCUUUGCUUUGAGUUAACAUGUCCUCUGUCUUUUUUGAUAGAAGAAAAGCACUGAAAAGGGGCUUAUCAGCUUUGUCUUUGAAGAGACAUUGGUCCAAUGAGUGCCUAGAAUAUAGAUGUAGCUUUCAGGGGCCAAGCUUUAUAUCUAUAUAAAGCUUUUCACUAAAAUUCUUCUCUGAAGAACUAUCAUGAUGUAGAGGAGACACUGGGAACUCAAGGAUGAUACCAGCAGAACAUAAGCUUUAUAGGUCUUACUAGAAAGGCUUUGAGUGUGGCCAAAUGAUGAACUGCAAUCCUACUACAGGAAGAAGUCUUGCUAAGUACAAAGUUUGGCCAUGAAG